AAAAGUUAAAAUUAAAUAAUAAAUUACUAACAGAUAUUAAAAUAGUGUAAUAUUACUGGGAAUGCGAAAUUGAUCCCCGAAGUUAAAAGGAGGACAACAAGGUGAGGAUAAAUAGUGAAGAGGUAGGUUAAUUUGUGAAUUGACGACGCCUAAACAUGCGUGGGAGUAAAGCGGCUACUUGU
Long non-coding RNA from Haliotis rubra (blacklip abalone), 182 nucleotides. RefSeq lists it as uncharacterized. Lineage: Eukaryota; Metazoa; Mollusca; Gastropoda; Lepetellida; Haliotidae. The record is from RefSeq and is a predicted model, not a curated record. The transcript is spliced from 2 exons.